Molecule: long non-coding RNA, 979 nt
Organism: Acanthochromis polyacanthus (spiny chromis)
Lineage: Eukaryota; Metazoa; Chordata; Actinopteri; Pomacentridae
Exons: 2
Source: RefSeq, a predicted model, not a curated record
UACUGCAUUUGUUUUCAACUGAUUUCCAUUAUUUGUCUAAUUCACCAUUAGUUGCAUUGUAAAAGGUGCUAUACAAAGAAAGCUAUCAUUACUGUUAGCGGUUAUUAAAUACAGCAGGGAUACAUGGACAUUUCAAAAGGGGCACUGCAGCCAACUUAAGCAAACAUACAGCAUGGAAGUAUAGUUUUUAUUUUUUGUGUUGUAUGUGUCUCAGUCCAAACAGGUCAUGUGAUAGUAACUCCAGCACUACAGGACAUCCCAGGACAAACCGUGUGUCCCCACUGCCAGCAGUCAGUGACCACCACCACAGUGCCCAAACCGGGCCUGUUGACCUGGGCUGUCUGUGGCAGCCUCGCCGUCUUUUUGUGCUGUCUUUUCUGCUGGAUCCCAUUCUGCAUUGAUGCCUGUAAAGAUGUGGAGCACAGCUGUCCAUCCUGCCACAAUGUUAUCUACAUAUACAAGCGAAUGUGAAACCAUCCCCUGAAAGAUGAACUGAGUGUCAGUGUUUUUCUGUAUCUUAUUAAUAGCCUUACUUAUUCAACAACAUUCCUGGGAUGUUGGACAAAAUGGUUCAAAACUGAACUCCUGACUGCUCAUUAUGUGACUCUUUCCUGCUCAGUAUGAAUGAGAAAACCAUGGACAGUUAUUUUCAGCAAUCAGUGGAACCUUUGUAAUUGAACAAAGAACACAAACCAACACACAGGAAAAUAAAAUGAACUGCCUGCUGUAGUUAUAAGUUGUUGUUUGCACAGAAGUGACUCCUGCUGGUUGUUGAACGUCUCACAUUGUCUGCUGUGCAUCUUUAUGCUUCCUCUCUGCUCCAAUGCCUCACAUUGUUCCUGUUGUCUUUUCUUGUUCCACUUGUUUUUUAUUUUUGUUUGCCUGAUUGAGUUUACACAGUUUUCAAUUGUUUACUUAUGAAAAAUGAAAUUUUUGAAUGUAAUCUGUUCGAACAUAAUAAAGUGAGUCUGUGAGCUGA